ACAGAAACCAGCACCAGAUGAGAUGUUCUCCUGGAAGCUUUGGGAAAGGCCAUCUCAGUCCCAUAGAGACUGGAGACUUUAGGAAGAGAGAGCCCCCAGUCUUGGAAAAACAAUUCCUAAUAGGAGAGACACCAGUUCCUGUUCAUAAGAGGUACCAAGUUGGGCGUCCUUGGACCCAGACAUAAGCUGGGGAGCCAGAGAAACCUGGAUGGAACAGGGACCCUAAGAAGUGGCUGAAUAACCACCAGGAGAGAGGGAGUGGCUUCCUGAACAGGAGCUGACCUGCAAGACCGGAAGAGGGAGGAGGAGAGGAGCUGGCUGAGUGAUGAACAGGGGCCAGCACUGAAGUACUGGGAAGAGAUGAGGGGCUACAGCGUUGGUGGCAGGGGAGCGCAGAGCCUGCAUAAAAGCAUCCAGGAAAACACCUUGAUGAGUCUUCAUAGAACAUUUUGGUGAGAAAGAGGACAGACUGUGGGCCCAAGCUGGAAGAGAAGACCAGGCUAAGAGGAACUGAAUUGCUUUGCAUAGCAAAGGAGCAGGGUAGGAGGCCCAGAAAGGAGAAGAAGAGAGAAAAGCCCAGGGUUCCCAGCUGAUAGCACUGACUGGAUGCAGACCUCAGGAAUGUUGGUUGGAGCUGAAUAUGGCUGUCCUUGUUUCAUGGAGCCUGGACCCCAUGGUUCAUCCUAGUCCCUCCUUGAACCCAUCCACUUUGGCUGCUUUUCUGUCCCAGGUAGGAUUUAGAAUUUGUGAUCCUCACUGGGCCUAGAGUGCAAUCACGUGCAAUCACGUGCAAUCAUAGGAUCAAGAAGGAACCUAGGAGAGACCCCCUCCAAUGACAGAGAAUGGCCAAUACCUUUGAGUGCCUGCUCUGUGUUCUAAGAACAGGCAACACUCUAACCUAUAGAGAUAGAAAUCAGAAUGGUGAUAGCUUUUGUGAGGGGCUGGCUUCUUGGGUGCUGG
This 960-nucleotide long non-coding RNA is filed under the name Homo sapiens (human). Its description in RNAcentral is "HSALNT0105732". Lineage: Eukaryota; Metazoa; Chordata; Mammalia; Primates; Hominidae. The record is from RNAcentral.